Esox lucius (northern pike) is the source of this 1030-nucleotide long non-coding RNA. RefSeq lists it as uncharacterized. Lineage: Eukaryota; Metazoa; Chordata; Actinopteri; Esociformes; Esocidae. The record is from RefSeq and is a predicted model, not a curated record. The transcript is spliced from 3 exons.
ACUUUUUCUUCAAUUCCCGGAACUCUGACCUCAAGAAUCUCCCCACCUACCUGAGGGAGGUAUGGAAGGAGAUGGGCUUGCCUGGAAGCCCCACCUUCACUGACAUACGGACCUCAAUCUCCACUCAUUGCAAGAACACCCUGGCAAAAAAGGACCGGGAGACAGUGGCUCGGUUCAUGUGCCAUGACACUAGGACGGCGGACAGGUUUUAUGCCAUCAGCCUCAACCCGACCCAGGCAAUGGAGGUUAGGUCCUUAUUCCAGGCAGCUUUGGAGGGCGAGGACCAGGACCAGUGAGCCAGAGACACCCCUCAACCUCAAAACCAUCAGAAAGGUGCAAGGGAAAGGCAGCGGAAGACAAGUCCCUUUCUGAGGGGAGCACUUCUUCUGAAGCCACAAAGGUCCAAUACCAAGAGUCCGGGACAUCAUCUCCGGGUUCUAAGUCUGAGUCGUCGUCAUCAUCAUCUCCCUCUUCGUCCUCGUCGUCAGGGGUGGGGCAGAUGGCUACACUACCUCAAACACCUCCUAAGAGACCAGCACCGGAGAGCGAAGAGCACCCCACGCCCUCCAAACUGCCGGUGACAGACAGGCGCAGAGUCAUGGUCUCCAUCACCCCGAUGAAGAUGUCCCCGCUGAAAUCGAUGAGAAAAACUAGACACGUCUCUCCUGUCCUGACUCAGCAGGGGAUAAGGAAGCUGAGAGCAACAAGCGCCCGGCUCAAGAGGGCCAUUGCCUCAAGGAGGCUAAAAAUGGAAGGUAAGGACAAAGACACUAUCCCACCCCACAGCCCAGAGGGAAAAGAUAGUGAGUCAACCUCUGUUCAAGCAGAGGAAGCCAUGGGCAGCAAAGCUUGAUUGAUUGACUCAAUAGGUUGGACACUUGUUCUAUUGUGUUUUUUGUUACCUGUUCUAAUUGUAAAUGUAGAUAGGAAACAUGUUAGAGUUUUGUUCUCAUCAUUUAUAACCUUCUCUGUUCUGUUUAAUUGAAUUGUUCUUUAGUAUUUUGUUAUUGAGAGUUUGUUAUUGCAUGUG